Molecule: ribosomal RNA, 487 nt
Filed under: uncultured bacterium
Lineage: Bacteria
Description: bacterial SSU rRNA
Rfam family: Bacterial small subunit ribosomal RNA
Source: RNAcentral
CCUAAUACAUGCAAGUCGAGCGAACACAAGAGGAUNUUGCUCCUUUGAAGUUAGCGGCGGACGGGUGAGGAACACGUGCGUGACCUACCCUGGGGUUUGGGAUAACUCCGGGAAACCGGGGCUAAUACCCAAUAAUCUGUUUUACUUGGUGGAGCAUGACUGAAAGACGGAUUCGGGUGGCCCUUUUGGAAGGGCCCGCGGCGCAAUAUCUAGGUGGUGAGGUAACAGCUCACCAAGGGGACCAUACAUAAUGAACCUGACAGGGUGAUCUGACACACUGGGACUGANAUCGGCCCAGACUCCUACGGGAGGUUCAAUAUGGAAUCUUCCACUGAGGGCGAAAGCCUGAUGGAGCAACGCCGCGUGAGUGAANAANGNUUUCGGAUCGUAAAACUCUGUUGUAAGGGAAGAACAAGUACGGUAGUUACUGGCUGUACCUUGACGGUACCUUAUUAANAAAGCCACCGCUAANCACGUGCCUACAGCC